CGUUAGCGGCGGACGGGUGAGUAACACGUGGGUAAUCUGCCUUAUACAGGGGGAGUAACAGUUAGAAAUGACUGCUAAUACCGCAUAAGCGCACGGGGACGCAUGUUUCUGUGUGAAAACUACCGGUAGUAUAAGAUGAGCCCGCGUCUGAUUAGCUGGUUGGUGGGGUAACGGCCUACCAAGGCGACGAUCAGUAGCCGGCCUGAGAGGGUGAACGGCCACAUUGGGACUGAGACACGGCCCAAACUCCUACGGGAGGCAGCAG
Molecule: ribosomal RNA, 265 nt
Filed under: uncultured bacterium
Lineage: Bacteria
Description: partial 16S ribosomal RNA
Rfam family: Bacterial small subunit ribosomal RNA
Source: RNAcentral